This is a long non-coding RNA of Sarcophilus harrisii (Tasmanian devil), 613 nucleotides long. RefSeq lists it as uncharacterized. The record is from RefSeq and is a predicted model, not a curated record. The transcript has 4 exons. Lineage: Eukaryota; Metazoa; Chordata; Mammalia; Dasyuromorphia; Dasyuridae.
GCAUUUGGCUAAGGAACUGAGAAAGAGGUCUAGAUAUAGAAUGUGCUGGGAAAGGGUUGGAAAUCCAUGUUUUCAAAAAGAUAGAAUUCUGAGGUUUCCAUCAACUGUCACCUUAGAGGGAAAUCUCAAUCCCAGAGUUUGAUGAGAUCAUGCAAGGCACUGAUAGGUGAUAUACCAAAGAAAAAUGUUGGUUUCAAAGGAAACAAGGGAAAGAGGCUUAAGGGGGCAUGUCUAUAGAGUCACAAGGAAUACCAUCUUCUACAGUGGAUUAAGUGGCUGCCCAUGUGAAGUCCAAGCUCAAUCACCUUCCAUUUCCAACCUUCAGAGCUUCCUUCUUCGAAUGGGAUUCAUUGCCACAGCAGCCAAUCAAAAUUUUGUCAUCAUGCUCAGUUUUUCCAGAUAAGAUUGCCUGAAUAUUGUAGGAUGGGGGUUUAUUCUUCCUACAGAGAAGAUAGUAUGUGAAUCUGAAGCAAGGUCAGACCCUGGAUUCUCAAGUCAUCCUGUGCUACAAGAAACAAGUUCACCGGAUAUCCAUGUGUCCCUUAAGUAUGAUUGAACGACUGGGCUUCUCCUUGAAAUGACCAGCAGGAUGAUUUCAGAAAGCCCUGGAGAG